This 416-nucleotide ribosomal RNA is filed under the name Entamoeba histolytica. RNAcentral's name for it is "bacterial SSU rRNA". It matches the Rfam family "Eukaryotic small subunit ribosomal RNA", at positions 1047 to 1448 of the family's 1831-position model. The record is from RNAcentral. Lineage: Eukaryota; Evosea; Mastigamoebida; Endamoebidae.
CUAGAUCUGAGUAUAUCAAUAUUACCUUGUUCAGAACUUAAAGAGAAAUCUUGAGUUUAUGGACUUCAGGGGGAGUAUGGUCACAAGGCUGAAACUUAAAGGAAUUGACGGAAGGGCACACCAGGAGUGGAGCCUGCGGCUUAAUUUGACUCAACACGGGAAAACUUACCAAGACCGAACAGUAGAAGGAAUGACAGAUUAAGAGUUCUUUCAUGAUUUAUUGGGUAGUGGUGCAUGGCCGUUCUUAGUUGGUGGAGUGAUUUGUCAGGUUAAUUCCGGUAACGAACGAGACUGAAACCUAUUAAUUAGUUUUUCUGCCUAUAAGACAGAAAUGUUCGCAAGAACAGGUGCGUAAGUACCACUUCUUAAAGGGACACAUUUCAAUUGUCCUAUUUUAAUUGUAGUUAUCUAAUUUC